Molecule: non-coding RNA, 136 nt
Organism: Hordeum vulgare subsp. vulgare (domesticated barley)
Lineage: Eukaryota; Viridiplantae; Streptophyta; Magnoliopsida; Poales; Poaceae
Source: Rfam
UAAAUGCUCCCUCCGUCCCAAAAUUCUUGUCUUAGAUUUUUCUAGAUAUGGAUGCAUUUAGAUACUAAAACAUGACUAGCUACAUUCAUAUCUAGACAAAUCUAAGACAAUAAUUUUGGGACGGAGGGAGUACAUG